RNAcentral lists this ribosomal RNA (538 nucleotides) under uncultured bacterium. Its description in RNAcentral is "bacterial SSU rRNA". It matches the Rfam family "Bacterial small subunit ribosomal RNA", at positions 358 to 916 of the family's 1533-position model. The record is from RNAcentral.
GGAAUCUUGCACAAUGGAGGAAACUCUGAUGCAGCGAUGCCGCGUGAGUGAAGAAGGCCUUUGGGUUGUAAAGCUCUUUUGUAGGGGAAGAUAAUGACUGUACCCUAAGAAUAAGGUCCGGCUAACUUCGUGCCAGCAGCCGCGGUAAUACGAAGAGACCUAGCGUAGUUCGGAAUUACUGGGCGUAAAGCGCGCGUAGGCCGUUGAGUUAGUUAAUUGUGAAAUCCCAAAGCUUAACUUUGGAACUGCAAUUAAAACUGCUCGACUAGAGUUUGAUAGAGGAAAGCGGAAUACAUAGUGUAGAGGUGAAAUUCGUAGAUAUUAUGUAGAACACCAGUUGCGAAGGCGGCUUUCUGGAUCAACACUGACGCUGAGGCGCGAAAGUAUGGGUAGCAAAGAGGAUUAGAUACCCUCGUAGUCCAUGCCAUAAACGAUGAUUGCUAGAUGUUGGAAAUUUAUUUUCAGUAUCGCAGCUAACGCAUUAAGCAAUCCGCCUGGGGAGUACGACCGCAAGGUUAAAACUCAAAUGAAUUGACGG